Molecule: ribosomal RNA, 496 nt
Filed under: uncultured bacterium
Lineage: Bacteria
Description: partial 16S ribosomal RNA
Rfam family: Bacterial small subunit ribosomal RNA
Source: RNAcentral
GAUGAACGCUGGCGGCGUGCCUAAUACAUGCAAGUAGAACGCUGAAGGAAUGAGCUUGCUCUCUUCGGAUGAGCUGCGAACGGGUGAGUAACGCGUAGGUAACCUGCUUGUUAGCGGGGGAUAACUACUGGAAACGAUAGCUAAUACUGCAUAACAGUAGAUAUUGCAUGAUAUCUACUUAAUAGGUGCAAUUGCACCACUACUAGAUGGAUCUGGGUUGUAUUAGCUAGUUGGUGAGGUAACGGCCAACCAAGGCGACGUUACGUAGCCGCCCUGGGAGGAGGACCACCCAAACGGGAACUGAGACACGGCCCAGACCCUACCGGGAGGCACAAUAGGGGAAUAUCGGCAAAGGAGGGAAGUCCUGCCCAGGAAAUACCGGUUGGGUGAGGAAGGUUUCCGGUUGUUAAGGUCCGUUGUAUGGGAAGGAAAAGUAUGAGGGUAGAAAGUUGCCGCUGUGACGGUACCUAAAGAGAAAGGAACGGCUAACUACGUG